This 391-nucleotide ribosomal RNA is filed under the name Arthrobacter sp. AZTITEMP8. RNAcentral's name for it is "bacterial SSU rRNA". It matches the Rfam family "Bacterial small subunit ribosomal RNA", at positions 941 to 1332 of the family's 1533-position model. The record is from RNAcentral. Lineage: Bacteria; Bacillati; Actinomycetota; Actinomycetes; Micrococcales; Micrococcaceae.
GUUNUNUAAUUNGAUGCAACGNGAAGAACCUUACCAAGGCUUGACAUGAACUGGAAAUACCUGGAAACAGGUGCCCCGCUUGCGGUCGGUUUACAGGUGGUGCAUGGUUGUCGUCAGCUCGUGUCGUGAGAUGUUGGGUUAAGUCCCGCAACGAGCGCAACCCUCGUUCUAUGUUGCCAGCACGUUAUGGUGGGGACUCAUAGGAGACUGCCGGGGUCAACUCGGAGGAAGGUGAGGACGACGUCAAAUCAUCAUGCCCCUUAUGUCUUGGGCUUCACGCAUGCUACAAUGGCCGGUACAAUGGGUUGCGAUACUGUGAGGUGGAGCUAAUCCCAAAAAGCCGGUCUCAGUUCGGAUUGGGGUCUGCAACUCGACCCCANGAANUCGGANU